UAAUACGGAGGGUGCAAGCGUUAUCCGGAUUCACUGGGUUUAAAGGGUGCGUAGGAGGGCAGGUAAGUCAGUGGUGAAAUCCUAGAGCUUAACUCUAGAACUGCCGUUGAUACUAUCUGUCUUGAAUAUUGUGGAGGUGAGCGGAAUAUGUCAUGUAGCGGUGAAAUGCUUAGAUAUGACAUAGAACACCAAUUGCGAAGGCAGCUCGCUACACAUAUAUUGACUCUGAGGCACGAAAGCGUGGGGAUCAAACAGGAUUAGAUACCCUGGUAGUCCACGCCCUAAACGAUGGAUACUCGACAUACGCGAUACACUGUGUGUGUCUGAGCGAAAGCAUUAAGUAUCCCACCUGGGAAGUACGACCGCAAGGUUG
Molecule: ribosomal RNA, 373 nt
Filed under: uncultured bacterium
Lineage: Bacteria
Description: bacterial SSU rRNA
Rfam family: Bacterial small subunit ribosomal RNA
Source: RNAcentral